GGCAAGUCUGGUGCCAGCAGCCGCGGUAAUUCCAGCUCCAAUAGCGUAUAUUAAAGUUGUUGCAGUUAAAAGCUCGUAGUUGGACUUUAGGCAAGACGGCCUGGUCGCCCACUGGGUGUACUGGGAUCGUUGCGCCUCACCUUCGGGGAGCCAGUCGUGCUUCGGUGCGCUGGGGAACCGAGCCUUACCUUGAGGAAAUUAGAGUGUUUAAGGCAGGCUUAUGCUUGAAUACGUUAGCAUGGAAUAACAUGAGUAGGACUUUGGUUCUUAUUUUGUUUGGUUUGAGGACCAAAGUAAUGAUUAAGUAGGACAGGUUGGGGCAUUAGUAUUCAAUAGUCAGAGGU
RNAcentral lists this ribosomal RNA (344 nucleotides) under uncultured Rozellomycota. RNAcentral describes it as "SSU rRNA". It matches the Rfam family "Eukaryotic small subunit ribosomal RNA", at positions 554 to 912 of the family's 1831-position model. The record is from RNAcentral. Lineage: Eukaryota; Fungi; Rozellomycota.